UCUCCGUAGGUGAACCUGCGGAGGGAUCAUUACACAAAUAUGAAGGCGGGCUGGAACCUCUCGGGGUUACAGCCUUGCUGAAUUAUUCACCCUUGUCUUUUGCGUACUUCUUGUUUCCUUGGUGGGUUCGCCCACCACUAGGACAAACAUAAACCUUUUGUAAUUGCAAUCAGCGUCAGUAACAAAUUAAUAAUUACAACUUUCAACAACGGAUCUCUUGGUUCUG
Molecule: unclassified non-coding RNA, 226 nt
Filed under: Alternaria alternata
Lineage: Eukaryota; Fungi; Ascomycota; Dothideomycetes; Pleosporales; Pleosporaceae
Also listed under: 2 other names
Description: partial contains small subunit ribosomal RNA, internal transcribed spacer 1, and 5.8S ribosomal RNA
Source: RNAcentral